UUGGUAGAAGCUGAAAGCAUUUUACUGUUAAUAAAAAGAAGAUAAAUAAUCCUAUCAAU
RNAcentral lists this transfer RNA (59 nucleotides) under Sperchon plumifer. RNAcentral's name for it is "tRNA-Asn". The record is from RNAcentral. Lineage: Eukaryota; Metazoa; Arthropoda; Arachnida; Trombidiformes; Sperchontidae.